This 600-nucleotide ribosomal RNA is filed under the name Oceanobacillus picturae. RNAcentral describes it as "bacterial SSU rRNA". It matches the Rfam family "Bacterial small subunit ribosomal RNA", at positions 106 to 692 of the family's 1533-position model. Lineage: Bacteria; Bacillati; Bacillota; Bacilli; Caryophanales; Bacillaceae. The record is from RNAcentral.
GUGAGUAACACGUGGGCAACCUGCCUGUAAGACUGGGAUAACCCCGGGAAACCGGGGCUAAUACCGGAUAAUACUUUCUUUUGCAUAAAGGAAAGUUGAAAGGCGGCUUCGGCUGUCACUUACAGAUGGGCCCGCGGCGCAUUAGCUAGUUGGUGAGGUAACGGCUCACCAAGGCGACGAUGCGUAGCCGACCUGAGAGGGUGAUCGGCCACACUGGGACUGAGACACGGCCCAGACUCCUACGGGAGGCAGCAGUAGGGAAUCUUCCGCAAUGGACGAAAGUCUGACGGAGCAACGCCGCGUGAGUGAUGAAGGUUUUCGGAUCGUAAAACUCUGUUGUUAGGGAAGAACAAGUUGGGUAGUAACUGACCCAACCUUGACGGUACCUAACCAGAAAGCCACGGCUAACUACGUGCCAGCAGCCGCGGUAAUACGUAGGUGGCAAGCGUUGUCCGGAAUUAUUGGGCGUAAAGCGCUCGCAGGCGGUCCUUUAAGUCUGAUGUGAAAUCUCGCGGCUCAACCGCGAACGGUCAUUGGAAACUGGAGGACUUGAGUACAGAAGAGGAGAGUGGAAUUCCACGUGUAGCGGUGAAAUGCGUA